RNAcentral lists this ribosomal RNA (640 nucleotides) under uncultured Actinomycetes bacterium. RNAcentral's name for it is "bacterial SSU rRNA". It matches the Rfam family "Bacterial small subunit ribosomal RNA", at positions 232 to 885 of the family's 1533-position model. The record is from RNAcentral. Lineage: Bacteria; Bacillati; Actinomycetota; Actinomycetes.
CGCGGCCUAUCAGCUUGUUGGUGAGGUAAUGGCUCACCAAGGCGACGACGGGUAGCCGGCCUGAGAGGGCGACCGGCCACACUGGAACUGAGACACGGUCCAGACUCCUACGGGAGGCAGCAGUGGGGAAUAUUGCACAAUGGGCGCAAGCCUGAUGCAGCGACGCCGCGUGGGGGAUGACGGCCUUCGGGUUGUAAACCCCUUUCAGGAGGGAAGAAAAUGACGGUACCUCCAGAAGAAGCCCCGGCCAACUACGUGCCAGCAGCCGCGGUAAUACGUAGGGGGCAAGCGUUGUCCGGAAUUAUUGGGCGUAAAGAGCUCGUAGGCGGCUCAGCAAGUCGGCUGUGAAAUCCCGAGGCUCAACCUCGGAACUGCAGUCGAUACUGUUGUGGCUAGAGUCCGGUAGAGGAGAAUGGAAUUCCCGGUGUAGCGGUGAAAUGCGCAGAUAUCGGGAGGAACACCAGUAGCGAAGGCGGUUCUCUGGGCCAGUACUGACGCUGAGGAGCGAAAGCGUGGGGAUCAAACAGGAUUAGAUACCCUGGUAGUCCACGCCGUAAACGUUGGGUACUAGGUGUGGCGUCCCGAUCAACGGACGCCGUGCCGAAGCUAACGCAUUAAGUACCCCGCCUGGGGAGUACGG